RNAcentral lists this ribosomal RNA (174 nucleotides) under uncultured bacterium. RNAcentral's name for it is "partial 16S ribosomal RNA". It matches the Rfam family "Bacterial small subunit ribosomal RNA", at positions 335 to 524 of the family's 1533-position model. The record is from RNAcentral.
ACUCCUACGGGAGGCAGCAGUGGGGAAUUUUCCGCAAUGGGCGAAAGCCUGACGGAGCAAUGCCGCGUGAAGGUAGAAGGCCUACGGGUCAUGAACUUCUUUUCCCGGAGAAGAAGCAAUGACGGUAUCCGGGGAAUAAGCAUCGGCUAACUCUGUGCCAGCAGCCGCGGUAAU